UAUAGUUCUGGGAGAAUACAACAACAUUAUAACUACUACUAUUACAAUUUAUAGGUCUUUAAAGCCUAACAAAAAAAGUUCCUCCUUUGUCUGCGUCCAAUUUCUCUAAAACACACACUGAUGGAACUUCCAAGCAAAAAAAUGAGUUAGCCUGAUUAAUGUCCGAUCCCUCCCUUGCUAGCGCAUCUGCCACUCUGUUAGCUUCCCUAAAAGUGUGCUGGAUUAGGGGGGUUCCCCAGACGCCUCAGCAGAUCCUUACAAUCAAAUAGCAUGUUUGUGUAAGAUGGGUGAUCAUUUUCGAUGAAGGUGAUGAGUUCCUUGCAAUCGAUAUUGACUUCCAAAGGUAGUAGUCCUCUUACUAAAGCUAUUUUGAGUCCUUGCAUGAGAGCUGUUAGUUCAGCUUUAACAUUAUUGGACAUAUGGAGAUUUCCCAUAUAACCUACAAUCCAAUCCCCAUUGUGGUCUCUGAUAACUCCCCUUGUGCCGCUUCUGCCGGGAUUCCCUAUUGAAGAACCAUCGCUAUUUAGUUUAUAACCUCUUUCUGGGGGCAUCCACUUGAUAAGGGUUGGUUGAUUCUUCUUUUUGGCACUUGUGCCUCCAAUGAGACUGUGGAAUUCAAUGGCAUGAUUAAUGGUUUUUUUGAUACACAAGUUGGUUUUUAUGUUCUUAUGGUAGUUUUCAUUUCUUUUUAACCACAGACUCCAUAAGAAGAAAGGAAAUAAAUCUUGCCAGGCAAGAAAACUUUGGUUUGUAUGUACUUGCAGCUUUUUUAUUUCCUCUAGCCAAUCUUUUUCUUGGCCAUUCCUAAUUUCGUUAAUGGAUCUUAGAACUUUUAAUUCGUUCCACAUAUUUUUUGCAAUGUAGCAUUCCAUAAAUAUGUGUUCUAAAGUUUCGGAUUUGUAACAUAUAUGGCAUGCCUGAUCGAUGUUUAUCCCGAUUGAAUGUAAAUAUUUCCAAGUAGGGAGUCUACCGUGCUGGCACAGCCAUACGAAGAAUUUUAUCUUGUUUGGGCAUUUGAGGGACCAAAUCCAUUUAUAUUUGUCAGGUGGUUCCUUUUUAUGCUUGUUCAUUAAGAGCUUGUAUACUGAAGAGGUUGUUAAUAUUCCAUUUGAAUUUAGCUUCCAUGAGGCAGUGUCCUCUUUAUUGUGUGUUAUAUACGUGCAGUGAAGCAGAUUUAUCAAUUCUUCCGGAAGAUCAAAUGAUAUAUCCUCUGUUUUUUUGACAUGGAUCUCGUGUGCUACUUCUCCUACUUUCAUAUCUAGUUCUAUUUCUUUUAGAGGUCUCUGAAUUUGUUCCCUGAUUGUUUUUCCAUUUGGUAGCCAUGUAUCAAACCAAAAGGAUGUUAGUUUGCCAUUUCCUAGAACCCACUCUAUGCCUUUUUUGCAGAUAUCCCAGCCUACUAUGAGGUCUUUCCAGAUUUUGUUGUGAUUUUUUAAAGAUUUAGAGCUUCUAUAGAGUUUUCCAUUGGUUGUGUAUUUUUUUAAUAAGAUUGAGGUCCAUAAUAAGUUUGGAUUUUUAAAGGCUCUCCAAGCCAGUUUUGAUAGAAGGGCUUUGUUUUUUAUAUUUGAUCUUUGUACUCCUAGCCCACCAUCACCUUCUUUAGCUGUUACUACUUCCCAUUUUAUCAGAUGGAGCUUUCUCUUUUCCUUAGUUGUUACCCUUAUGAAGUUUCGUUGUAUUUGGUCUAUUUUUAUUUGUGAUUGAUUUUGGGAGUUUUGUUAUUUGCAUAAUGUGGGUUGGAAUAUUAUUGAGGCAUGCGUUCGCCAGGGUGGUUCUUCCUGCUAUGUUUAGAAAUUUGGUGUUCCAUUCUGUUAAUUUGGAUUGCAUAUUAUCAGUAAUGAACUGAAAAUUAUUAUUUGUGACUCGACUGUGGGAUAUUGGGAUGCCUAGAUAUUUUCCAAAGUGUUUUCCACAUUUGAUUUUGAGUUUCCUCGAGAUGGUGUCAACCAAAGUCUCUGGAAAAUUAUUAGAAAAGAUUAGCUUUGAUUUUAGUGUGUUUAUUACUUGUCUAGAGGUGUGGCAGAACACUUUCAUAACUUCUUGUAUACAUUCACAGUUAGUUACACUUGCCUUACUCAUAAGUACAAGGUCGUCUGCGAAGAACAAGUGCGGAAUUUUUGGUCCUUUGUUUGAGAUUUUUAUUGGAGUCCAAUUUUUUAAUUGCACUUCUUGGUCUAUCUUCCUAGAUAAGAUUUCCAUACAGAGAAUGAAUAUGUAAGGUGACAUUGGGUCCCCUUGUUGUAUUCCCCUGGAUGGUCUGAAGUAUUCUAUUUUUGAUCCAUUAACGAGGAUUGCCAUUCAACUCGUUUAGAUGCACGACAUAAUUAACUUGAUGAUAUUACUGGGAAAUUGGAAGUAUUGGAGUGUUUCUUUAAUAAAGGACCACUCAAUCUUGUCGAAGGCCUUCUCUAGGUCAAUUUUAAGAAUUAGAUUUGCUUUCUUGCCUUUCAUUUUUUUAAAGUGUGAAAUGAUUUCUUGUACGAUAAUGGCAUUAUCUGUUGUUUGUCUAUUCUUUAAAAAAUGUGCUUGACAUGGCCCAAUUAUUUUGUCCAUGAUGGGUCUCAUUUGUUGGAAAAUUAUCUUUGUUAUUACUUUGUAUGUGGUGUUGCAAAGGCUUAUGGGCCUGAAGUCUUUUAAAUUAUUUGCGUUCUUUUUCUUUGGGAUUAGGCAUAUAAGAGUAUCAUUUAUUCCUUCGGGGAUGAGCCCUUGUAUGAAGGAAUCUUUACAUAGUUGUACGACUGAGUUUCCUACUAUACUCCAGUAUUUUUGGUACAAGAAAGGAUGGAGUUCGUCCGACCAAGGGGUUUUAAGGGGUUGGAAGGAAGAUAUAGCUUUAUGGACUUUUUCUGAUGACGGUGUUACUCCGAGGGUGGAGAAGUCUCUGGGAUAUCUUGGUCUUCUUGGCAUGUCCUAUUUCGUUUGGAGUGGGACUGUUUGGUGUGAAAUAGGUCCUUAAAGUAGUUGAAAAUGGUGUUUUUAAUUUCAUUUUGAUUAAACAACCAUUCCCCUUCAUCAGAGAUCAGGGCAGUGAUCCUAUUCUUUCUUCUUCUAUUUAGUGUGGUUGUAUGAAAUAAUCUAGUAUUUGCGUCUCCUUCGUUUAACCAGUUUACUCUAGAUUUUAAUUUCCAGAAUUCCUCUUCGAUGUGUAGUAAAUAGUAAUAUUUUUGAAUGAGCCCAUUUUCAAGUUGUGUAAGAAAAGAGCUGUGUGUGUAAUUUAGGGACUUUUGGAUUCCUUCUAGUCUUCUCAUUAUUUUUCUUUUUUUUGAGAAUAUAUUUCCAAAAGUAGUAUGAUUCCAUAUUGUUACUUUUUUCUGAAAAAUAGGUAUAGAGUUGAGUAUAUUAUUUCCCUCCCCCCAUGCGUCACUAAUUAUUUUUUGUAGGUCUGGGUGGGUGGCCCACAUUGUCUCGAAUCUAAUUUUUUUUCCCUCUUUACAUUUUCUAGUGGAAAAAGUGAAAGAAGGAGGGGGCAAUGAUUCGAGUGGGUACGAGGUAGGUGUUGUACCUGGGAGUCGGGGAAGGUAUGGAUCCAAUUGUCGUUUGCAAGAAAUCUAUCUAAUCUUUUGUAUAUUUGUUGAGAUCUAUUUUUAAAACAUUUAUUUAACCACGUGUAACGACUUCCUUUAAAC
Molecule: long non-coding RNA, 3626 nt
Filed under: Solanum tuberosum (potato)
Lineage: Eukaryota; Viridiplantae; Streptophyta; Magnoliopsida; Solanales; Solanaceae
Description: long non-coding RNA (STUB_LNC003833)
Source: RNAcentral